UACAGAGGUCCCGAGCGUUGUUCGGAUUCAUUGGGCGUAAAGGGUGCGUAGGCGGUCUGCUAAGUUUGAUGAUGAAAUCCCGGGGCUCAACCCUGGAAUGGCAUUGAAUACUGGCGGACUAGAGUACCGGAGAGGAAACUGGAAUUUACGGUGUAGCAGUGAAAUGCGUAGAGAUCGUAAGGAAGACCAGUGGCGAAGCGAGUUUCUGGACGGUAACUGACGCUGAGGCACGAAGGCCAGGGGAGCAAACGGG
RNAcentral lists this ribosomal RNA (253 nucleotides) under uncultured bacterium. RNAcentral describes it as "partial 16S ribosomal RNA". It matches the Rfam family "Bacterial small subunit ribosomal RNA", at positions 524 to 776 of the family's 1533-position model. The record is from RNAcentral.